RNAcentral lists this ribosomal RNA (425 nucleotides) under uncultured bacterium. Its description in RNAcentral is "bacterial SSU rRNA". It matches the Rfam family "Bacterial small subunit ribosomal RNA", at positions 356 to 772 of the family's 1533-position model. The record is from RNAcentral.
GGGGAAUUGUUCGCAAUGGGCGCAAGCCUGACGACGCAACGCCGCGUGGAGGAUGAAGAUCUUCGGGUCGUAAACUCCUGUCGAGCGGGAAGAAUUGCUUCGAGGUGAAUAUCCUCGAAGUUUGACGGUACCGCUAAAGGAAGCCCCGGCUAACUCUGUGCCAGCAGCCGCGGUAAUACAGAGGGGGCGAGCGUUGUUCGGAAUUACUGGGCGUAAAGGGCGCGUAGGUGGCCUGUUAAGUCGAACGUGAAAUCCCCGGGCUCAACCCGGGAACUGCGUCCGAGACUGGCAGGCUCGAAUCCGGGAGAGGGAUGUGGAAUUCCAGGUGUAGCGGUGAAAUGCGUAGAUAUCUGGAGGAACACCGGUGGCGAAGGCGGCAUCCUGGACCGGUAUUGACGCUGAGGCGCGAAAGCCAGGGGAGCAAA